GAUUGUCCGUGUUCUCCAAUGUUGCCCGACCAUAUGGUAAAAAAGAUUUUCAAAUGUUGACACCACAAGAAACGGAUGACAUGCAUUGGUAUGUGCUAAACAAUUGCUAAGAGGUAGAAGCGUACAUGAUGUGAGUAUAUACAUUUAAUUUUUAUUUGUUGAUAUAUCAAUGAAUGUACGUGGACUCUAAAUUAAAAUAUACAUGGUAUUACUGUAUCACUUCAGUGAACACGAAAGUGAGCUCAGAAGAAGUAAUCCUACAUUAGCAGUGGCACGACAUAGGAAUUAAUUCGCAUCAUGGUUUGACGAACGGGUAAGUUAUGUUAAUGUUCAUCCAUGAUUAAAAGUUUGUUU
Molecule: long non-coding RNA, 354 nt
Filed under: Elaeis guineensis (African oil palm)
Lineage: Eukaryota; Viridiplantae; Streptophyta; Magnoliopsida; Arecales; Arecaceae
Description: long non-coding RNA (EGUI_LNC012018)
Source: RNAcentral